UACGAAGGGGGCUAGCGUUGCUCGGAAUCACUGGGCGUAAAGGGUGCGUAGGCGGGUCUUUAAGUCAGGGGUGAAAUCCUGGAGCUCAACUCCAGAACUGCCUUUGAUACUGAAGAUCUUGAGUUCGGGAGAGGUGAGUGGAACUGCGAGUGUAGAGGUGAAAUUCGUAGAUAUUCGCAAGAACACCAGUGGCGAAGGCGGCUCACUGGCCCGGUACUGACGCUGGGGUGCGAAAGCGUGGGGAGCAAACAGG
This 253-nucleotide ribosomal RNA is filed under the name uncultured bacterium. Its description in RNAcentral is "partial 16S ribosomal RNA". It matches the Rfam family "Bacterial small subunit ribosomal RNA", at positions 524 to 776 of the family's 1533-position model. The record is from RNAcentral.